UACGUAGGGUGCAAGCGUUGUCCGGAAUUAUUGGGCGUAAAGAGCUCGUAGGCGGUAUGUCGCGUCUGCUGUGAAAACUCAGGGCUUAACCCUGAGCUUGCAGUGGGUACGGGCAGACUAGAGUGCGGUAGGGGAGACUGGAAUUCCUGGUGUAGCGGUGAAAUGCGCAGAUAUCAGGAGGAACACCGGUGGCGAAGGCGGGUCUCUGGGCCGUAACUGACGCUGAGGAGCGAAAGCAUGGGGAGCGAACAGG
RNAcentral lists this ribosomal RNA (253 nucleotides) under uncultured bacterium. RNAcentral's name for it is "partial 16S ribosomal RNA". It matches the Rfam family "Bacterial small subunit ribosomal RNA", at positions 524 to 776 of the family's 1533-position model. The record is from RNAcentral.